Molecule: non-coding RNA, 705 nt
Organism: Megalops cyprinoides (Indo-Pacific tarpon)
Lineage: Eukaryota; Metazoa; Chordata; Actinopteri; Elopiformes; Megalopidae
Source: the annotation of a RefSeq genome assembly
AUGGCUGCACUGGGACUCCUCCUCUCCAUGUUGGCACUCUGUAUCCAUGGCUCCAGGGCUGACAUCAUCCUGACUCAGAGUCCUACAGUGGAGUCCGUCUCUGUAGGAGGGAGUGUCACUCUCAACUGCAGGGCCAGCAGCUCAAGCGCAAGCAGCUACAUUGCCUGGUAUCUGCAGAAACCUGGAGAACCUCCUAAACUCCUGUUCUACUCUGUGGGUAGCAGAGUGUCAGGGACUCCAGCUCGAUUCACUGAUGGCAAGGAUGGAACCAACUACAUGCUGAAAAUCAGUGGGGUGCAGGCAGAAGAUGCAGGAGAUUAUUACUGUCAGCAACCUCACAACAGCAAUGACUUUACUUUUGGCGGCGGCACCAGACUGGACAUUGGAAGCAACACCCGCCCAACGGUCACGGUCCUCCCCCCCUCUAGCGCAGAGCUGUCCACUCAUAAGAAGGCCACGCUGAUGUGCCUGGCCAACAAGGGCUUCCCCUCAGACUGGAAGCUGCGCUGGAAGGUGGACGGUAGCAGCAAGAGCUCGGAGGAGAGCGGCGGGGUCCUGGAGAAGGACGGCCUGUACAGCUGGAGCAGCACCCUGACUCUCACGGCAGACGAGUGGGCCAGGGCAGGGUCACUGACCUGCGAGGCCACCCAGGGCUCCCAGACAACAGUUACUCAGACGCUGCAGAGAUCCGAUUGCUCUGGGUAG